UUGUUGGUAAGGUAAAAGCUUACCAAGGCUUCGAUCAGUAGCUGGUCUGAGAGGACGACCAGCCACACUGGGACUGAGACACGGCCCAGACUCCUACGGGAGGCAGCAGUGGGGAAUUUUGGACAAUGGGGGCAACCCUGAUCCAGCCAUGCCGCGUGAGUGAAGAAGGCCCUCGGGUUGUAAAGCUCUUUCAGCCGGAACGAAACGGUUACGGAUAACACCCGUGGCUACUGACGGUACCGGAAGAAGAAGCACCGGCUAACUACGUGCCAGCAGCCGCGGUAAUACGUAGGGUGCGAGCGUUUAUCGGAAUUACUGGGCGUAAAGCGUGCGCAGGUGGUUUUGUAAGUCAGAUGUGAAAGCCCCGGGCUCAACCUGGGAACUGCGUUUGAAACUACAAGACUAGAGUGUGGCAGAGGGGGGUGGAAUUCCGCGUGUAGCAGUGAAAUGCGUAGAGAUGUGGAGGAACACCGAUGGCGAAGGCAGCCCCCUGGGUCAACACUGACGCUCAGGCACGAAAGCAUGGGGAGCAAACAGGAUUAGAUACCCUGGUAGUCCAUGCCCUAAACGAUGUCAACUAGUUGUCGGGCCUUUACGGGCUUGGUAACGUAGCUAACGCGUGAAGUUGACCGCCUGGGGAGUACGAUCGCAAGAUUAAAACUCAAAUGAAUUGACGGGGACCCGCACAAGCGGUGGAUUAUGUGGAUUAAUUCGAUGCAACGCGAAAAACCUUACCUACCCUUGACAUGUAUCGAAGCCCGCAGAAAAGCGGGGGUGCCCGAAAGGGAACGAUAACACAGGUGCUGCAUGGCUGUCGUCAGCUCGUGUCGUGAGAUGUUGGGKUAAGUCCCGCAACGAGCGCAACCCUUGUCAUUAAUUGCCAUCAUUUAGUUGGGCACUUUAAUGAGACUGCCGG
RNAcentral lists this ribosomal RNA (916 nucleotides) under uncultured bacterium. RNAcentral describes it as "bacterial SSU rRNA". It matches the Rfam family "Bacterial small subunit ribosomal RNA", at positions 246 to 1155 of the family's 1533-position model. The record is from RNAcentral.